UGGCGGACGGGUGAGUAAUGCGUAGGAAUCUACCUAGUUGAGUGGGAUAGCCUAGGGAAACUUAGGGUAAUACCGCAUAAGUCUUACGGGAGAAAGCAGGGGACUGUUAAAGGCCUUGCGCGAUUAGAUGAGCCUACGUCGGAUUAGCUUGUUGGUGGGGUAAAGGCCUACCAAGGCGAUGAUCCGUAGCUGGCCUGAGAGGACGACCAGCCACACUGGGACUGAGACACGGCCCAG
RNAcentral lists this ribosomal RNA (237 nucleotides) under uncultured bacterium. RNAcentral describes it as "partial 16S ribosomal RNA". It matches the Rfam family "Bacterial small subunit ribosomal RNA", at positions 96 to 334 of the family's 1533-position model. The record is from RNAcentral.